AUUGAACGCUGGCGGCAGGCCUAACACAUGCAAGUCGAGCGGAUGAAGGGAGCUUGCUCCUGGAUUCAGCGGCGGACGGGUGAGUAAUGCCUAGGAAUCUGCCUGGUAGUGGGGGAUAACGUCCGGAAACGGGCGCUAAUACCGCAUACGUCCUGCGGGAGAAAGUGGGGGAUCUUCGGACCUCACGCUAUCAGAUGAGCCUAGGUCGGAUUAGCUAGUUGGUGGGGUAAAGGCCUACCAAGGCGGCGAUCCGUAACUGGCCUGAGAGGAUGAUCAGUCACACUGGAGCGGAGACACGGUCCAGACUCCUACGGGAGGCAGCAGUGGGGAAUAUUGGACAAUGGGCGAAAGCCUGAUCCAGCCAUGCCGCGUGUGUGAAGAAGGUCUUCGGAUUGUAAAGCACUUUAAGUUGGGAGGAAGGGCAGUAAGUUAAUACCUUGCUGUUUUGACGUUACCAACAGAAUAAGCACCGGCUAACUUCGUG
RNAcentral lists this ribosomal RNA (484 nucleotides) under uncultured bacterium. RNAcentral's name for it is "partial 16S ribosomal RNA". It matches the Rfam family "Bacterial small subunit ribosomal RNA", at positions 30 to 507 of the family's 1533-position model. The record is from RNAcentral.